Molecule: long non-coding RNA, 443 nt
Filed under: Elaeis guineensis (African oil palm)
Lineage: Eukaryota; Viridiplantae; Streptophyta; Magnoliopsida; Arecales; Arecaceae
Description: long non-coding RNA (EGUI_LNC016260)
Source: RNAcentral
AGAAUGAAUAAAAAAAAUACAAAUAUUAUGAAAAUAACUUCUUUUCAUUCAUUCAAGUAUUUACAAGAAAGAAGAUGGUGUCUGAAGCACCACCUUACAAAAAAAAAGAGAAUAAAACAAAGCAAAAUAGAAGCAAGGAUAAAGAGACUCAGUCCUCAUCUAACGAGGAGGUCCCCACCUCCUCGUCGCUAUUUCAGGGCUAGAGACCAUGGAGCUCUAAGUAUGGCAUUAUCUGCAACAGACGGAUCUUACAAUCCUCGAAAUCGAGGAUAAAGGUAAUAGCAGCAAUAUCGAUAGCCUCCUUCUCGAACUCCAUGGAGGUCCGAAACUCUUGAAUAUAGUAUGCUCAAACAUUGAGAGGAAUCCAUUCAAACUGGGGGGUACGUUCACCUCUAGGAGACGGCGAGGAUCGAGAGAUAGAGGGCACCCUGUAAGAAGAGGAC